Molecule: long non-coding RNA, 915 nt
Organism: Mesocricetus auratus (golden hamster)
Lineage: Eukaryota; Metazoa; Chordata; Mammalia; Rodentia; Cricetidae
Exons: 3
Source: RefSeq, a predicted model, not a curated record
UAGUUGAGUCUCCAGACUGAGACGGCCAGCAGGAUGUGUAGGGUGGUGAAGCCUAAGAUGGAGGAGAUGUUGCCCUACAUGCUCCAGAGUAGCGGAGCGGGGACACAGAGAGAACGGCAGACCAGGGUUCACGACCACCUGUUUCCCAUAUUGCUCCUUCAGAAGUACCAUGUGCCUGCAACGGUAUCGGGGUUGGCAGCGACUCCACAGUACCCAAGGCCAGGCAGCCUGCGCCUCCAUCUCAGCAUUGGAGAUCCGGGACCCGCCAUGCCCCUUAAUCCCAAGCGUAUAGAGGAGGAAACCCCUUCCUCCUGGCUACCAUCCCUGCUCAUCUGAAACUCACGGGGGUUCCAAAUUCCAAGAGUGGAAGAGAAAGACUACAAUUCAGCUGUCCUUUCCUGCCGCCGAAGCUGACUCUCUGGAAGAGACCCCGUGCUCUCUCAUUUACAAAAUCCAGCUCACCCUCCCUGAGCAGAGAAGUUGCAAGAAUUAAAGAGGGUAAAAGAAAAGAGGCCAGGGAUCAGCACCUGGGAGAUGAUUCUUCUUUGUUCCCUCAUCUAAAAAUAAGACGAUACUUUUCACGAUGAGAUAUGCCAUUUUGGCGUAAGGCAUGGUCUGUCAGGAACAAACCAAGCAGGACACUGUCCCCUUGUUAGAAUUUCAGUCUACACCUACUACAUUCUGGGAACAUCUAGCAUGGACCAAUGUUAAUCAAAAUGACUGAGUAUGUCAUCCCUACAACAUCCAAGCCUGUUCUGGAAAAAGACUAGAUUACACAAAAAGUCUGCCAUUUACAGCAACUGACUAGGUAGUCACAGGUGUGCUCACAUUACCAGUGUUACAUAGAUUUCAAAAGUAUAUAAGCAAACACAAAGCCAAAUGAAGCUUCAGUACUCAAAGUUCCCUUUGAGAAUU